CAAGUAUAGCAGGAACAAAACACUGGGCAAUUGUCAUUGUUACCUGCUGAUCCCAAAGGCUCCGCAGGUAUAUGAAGGACAAUCAGUUCAUCACUGCGUCACUUUGACGAAUUGAUACGAGAUCAGCCGAUUCACAUGUCUCCAAGUUUUCAAUUAUCGCCGGGAAUGUCUUGCACUGAGAGACGAAUUAAUAAAAAAUGUUAACAAUAAAUUGAUGUUGCAAAUGAAAACACGCGAAUACAACCACAAACUGCAACACAAAAAACUUUAUCAUCAGUACAAUCACAUGCCUAUGUUCCAUAAUUUUAUGGUAAUGAAAAUUCAUGAGCAGGUGAUCCUACGAAUAAAUGACUUCUCUACAUGCUUGAAAGAGAUUUCUGCAGUUUAACUAUUAAUCUUUGAAUAAUAAUGAUAGAAAAUGGAAAAAUUACGACAUUAAUUCAUUCUUCAGAAAUUACAGAAGUACAUAAAAUGAGCUACUCUAUGUACAUUUUAAAUACUUCUACAUUAGUGAAUACGAAGAAAAAAUAACUGCUUCUGGUGAAUUUGUACAGGCAAAUGUAUGGACGGGAAUAUUUACAUCGAAAUAUCUGGAUUUUAAGCUCCAACAGAAGGCGCCACAAUGUCUAAUUUUCUCUCAUAAAACAACUUGCAAUUGUGCAUCGAGUACCGCUAUAUCCUCAUGUAGCCCACACGCAUCCAAUUAUCAUCGUAACGCUUUCAUUUCACUAAUGCAAAAACGCCUAAUGCGUAUAAAAUUGAGUAAAACUCGGAGAAUAGCAAAUCAUCUACCUGCAAUUGGACGAGAGCCGCAAUAAAGAAAGGAGAUUAACAAUUCUUGGGAUAAAUUUAAUCCGACAACUCAUGAAUGAUUAAUCACAUUUUUUUUUAAGGAGACGCAUAAAAAAAACAACAAAACGCUGAUUGGAGGCCAUUGACAGCUCUGAUAAGGAAAAAUGUAUUUGGGAAUUUGAAGAGUAAAAAAUGUGGCAUUACUCGAUGUAUUUAUCAGUAAUAAUCCGCUGUUUAAAAAAUUAAUUGGUAUGCUGAAAUUUCAUCGGAUAAUCUACAACAAAUUCUUUUGCAAUUCUAUAGAAUGGAGACGCAAUUUGAAAAUUUUAUAGAUUUUUAAUAAAAAAUUGAAAUUAAAAUUUGUUUAUUCACGUUUUUGCCACUGGAUAUUGAUUUUUUGCGCAAUGUGCAUAAUAGAAUCUGAUUGGACAGAAACCUUGAACACUUAUGCGCUUCUCAUCGAAGAAAAAUCAAUAAACAUUCCAAAACUUCUCCUAGAAUAUUCGAUAAAAUCCCCACAAAAAAAACUACAUAACAGAUUUUUCCAUUCAAAUUCCAGUGAAAAUUUUAUCGAAAUCGAAUUGUACUUUACUAUAUUAUUAUUAUUAACUCCAUGUGUAGCCAAUGAUAUUUUUUGCGUAUUAAAUAGAGCUAUAAAUUGUAAACAAUAAUUGUUAUAAUAGUUUAAAAAUGGGUAGAAUUUUUUAAGAAAAGUUGAUGGUAAUUUUGAGAAAAUUCUGUGGAUUUUUGGAUAAAUAUUUUUUUUGUGCGGUGAAAAAAUAAAAUAUAGAAAGACCUGACAUGGACUUGUGCCGGAAAUUCAGCCAAGGGACGUACGGCUGAUCGAAACCAGGACUCUCGCUGUGAAAAGCCAGUAUUUACCGGUGGUAAAAACACCGGCAGUAAAAACAGCGGCAGUAAAAGCGCCGGUUUUCAUAGUGAAAACGCCGGGUUUUCUAGGUAAGACAGGCCCCACUAAUGGUCUCACGUAAAACUGUUCCCUUUUUUCAGUACAAGAAUAGAUUCUUCCCUUUAAAUAUCGGAUACCAAAAGAGACAAUUUUUUGAGAAUAUCAAUAUCUCAUUUUUUAUAUUUUUUUAAUAAAUUUUUGGA
This is a long non-coding RNA of Fopius arisanus, 1905 nucleotides long. RefSeq lists it as uncharacterized. The transcript is spliced from 7 exons. The record is from RefSeq and is a predicted model, not a curated record. Lineage: Eukaryota; Metazoa; Arthropoda; Insecta; Hymenoptera; Braconidae.